RNAcentral lists this transfer RNA (63 nucleotides) under Aspergillus novoparasiticus. Its description in RNAcentral is "tRNA-Arg". It matches the Rfam family "tRNA", at positions 9 to 63 of the family's 71-position model. Rfam says of the family: Transfer RNA (tRNA) molecules are approximately 80 nucleotides in length. The record is from RNAcentral. Lineage: Eukaryota; Fungi; Ascomycota; Eurotiomycetes; Eurotiales; Aspergillaceae.
GCCGGCGGAAUUGGUUACCGCGUCUGACUACGAAUCAGGAGGCUGUAGGUUCGAAUCCUAUCA